RNAcentral lists this ribosomal RNA (266 nucleotides) under uncultured archaeon. RNAcentral describes it as "partial 16S ribosomal RNA". It matches the Rfam family "Archaeal small subunit ribosomal RNA", at positions 717 to 982 of the family's 1478-position model. The record is from RNAcentral.
ACACGACUACAUUAGAUACCCGCGUAGUCCUAGCCGUAAACGAUACUCGCUAGGUGUCGGCCACGGUGCGACCGUUGUCGGUGCCGUAGGGAAGCCGUGAAGCGAGCCACCGUGGGAAGUACGGCCGCAAGGCUGAAACUUAAAGGAAUUGGCGGGGGAGCACCACAACGGGUGGAGCUUGCGGUUUAAUUGGAUUCAACGCCGGAAAUCUUACCGGGACCGACAGCAACAUGAAGGCCAGGCUGAAGACUUUGCCGGAUUAGUUG